This is a long non-coding RNA of Humulus lupulus (European hop), 503 nucleotides long. RefSeq lists it as uncharacterized. The transcript has 3 exons. Lineage: Eukaryota; Viridiplantae; Streptophyta; Magnoliopsida; Rosales; Cannabaceae. The record is from RefSeq and is a predicted model, not a curated record.
UCUGGGACAGAAUUCUCACACAUUGUUCCUCAAUCCAUUUUUGGGUACAAGGAUUGCAGGAAAAGAUAGAACUGGUUCCCCUUGAUCUGCAAGACAGACCUUCCAUCUAGUUCUGCCUGACUUUCAAUCUAGUCAAAAAGUCUAGACUUAGGAACCUAAACUUUCACUAUUUCUCAGUUCUCAGACGGGACACUAUUAUGUACUUGAGUCAAUUGGUAUGCCAGAAUGCAAGCUUGGCCUUAACGAUCGAGUGUUGCUAGAGGCACAAGGCAGAGCAACAAAGGGAAAAGCUAUUGAUUUGGAAGACAUCAAAUUUCAUCAGUAAAGAAGAAGGGUGAUAAAGAUGAGAGGAAGCUCAAGAGAAGGAUGACUAAUCCAAUGGAUUCUGUUUUUCUUUUUAUUAAUGGGCUUUGAUGUUUGUGGAGUUUAAUCUUUUUUUGGUUCCCAAUAAAAUACAUUAUCUGUGAUUGAACUUUCAGCUUGUUGGUUAGCUUUUCUCAGCU